GACGAACGCUGGCGGCGCGCUUUAUACAUGCAAGUCGAACGAGAAGCCAGAGCUUGCUCUGGUGGAAAGUGGCGAACGGGUGAGUAACACGUGAGAAACCUGCCCAAAGACUGGGAUAAGCCGAGGAAACUUGGUCUAAUACCGGAUACCUUCUUUUUAUCACAUGUUAAAAAGAAGAAAUGCUCCGGCGCUUUGGGAUGGUCUCGCGACCUAUCAGCUUGUUAGUGAGGUAAAAGCUCACCAAGGCAUCGACGGGUAGCUGGUCUGAGAGGAUGUCCAGCCACAUUGGGACUGAGAUACGGCCCAAACUCCUACGGGAGGCAGCAGUAGGGAAUCUUGCACAAUGAGGGAAACCUUGAUGCAGCGACGCCGCGUGCGGGACGAAGGCCCUAGGGUUGUAAACCGCUUUCAGUAGGGACGAAAGUGACGGUACCUACAGAAGAAGCCCCGGCCAACUAUGUGCCAGCAGCCGCGGUAAU
RNAcentral lists this ribosomal RNA (479 nucleotides) under uncultured bacterium. Its description in RNAcentral is "bacterial SSU rRNA". It matches the Rfam family "Bacterial small subunit ribosomal RNA", at positions 28 to 524 of the family's 1533-position model. The record is from RNAcentral.